UACGUAGGGGGCAAGCGUUGUCCGGAUUUAUUGGGCGUAAAGCGCUCGCAGGUGGUUCGUCGCGUCGUGCGUGAAAGACCCCGGCUCAACUGGGGGGUGUCGUGCGAUACGGGCGGACUGGAGGCCAGUAGGGGGAUGCGGAAUUCCGGGUGUAGUGGUGGAAUGCGUAGAGAUCCGGAGGAACACCAGUGGCGAAGGCGGCCGCCUGGACCUGACCUGACGCUGAGGCGCGAAGGCGCGGGGAGCGAACGGG
This 253-nucleotide ribosomal RNA is filed under the name uncultured bacterium. RNAcentral's name for it is "partial 16S ribosomal RNA". It matches the Rfam family "Bacterial small subunit ribosomal RNA", at positions 524 to 776 of the family's 1533-position model. The record is from RNAcentral.